This 253-nucleotide ribosomal RNA is filed under the name uncultured bacterium. Its description in RNAcentral is "partial 16S ribosomal RNA". It matches the Rfam family "Bacterial small subunit ribosomal RNA", at positions 524 to 776 of the family's 1533-position model. The record is from RNAcentral.
UACGUAGGUGGCAAGCGUUGUCCGGAAUUAUUGGGCGUAAAGCGCGCGCAGGCGGUCCUUUAAGUCUGAUGUGAAAGCCCACGGCUCAACCGUGGAGGGUCAUUGGAAACUGGGGGACUUGAGUGCAGAAGAGGAAAGCGGAAUUCCACGUGUAGCGGUGAAAUGCGUAGAGAUGUGGAGGAACACCGGUGGCGAAGGCGGCUUCUUGGGCCGUUUCUGACGCUGAGGCGCGAAAGCCAGGGGAGCGAACGGG